GUUAUGGAGAGUUUGAUCCUGGCUCAGGACGAACGCUGGCGGUGCGCCUCAUACAUGCAAGUCGAACGAAGAGGCCCCCUCGGGGGUACUUCAGUGGCGGACGGGUGAGUAACACGUAGGUAACGUGCCUUGUACUGGGGGAUAACACCGGGAAACCGGUGCUAAUACCGCAUAAGAUAUUCGGUGAGACUCCGGAUAUUUAAAGUUUUUUCGGUACAAGAUCGGCCUGCGUCUGAUUAGCUAGUUGGUAGGGUAAUGGCCUACCAAGGCGAUGAUCAGUAGUUGGUCUGAGAGGAUGACCAGCCACAGUGGGACUGAGACACGGCCCACACUCCUACGGGAGGCAGCAGUAGGGAAUCUUGCGCAAUGGGCGAAAGCCUGACGCAGCGACACCGCGUGAAGGAUGAAGUCCCUCGGGAUGUAAACUUCUGUCGGCAGGGAAGAAUUAAUGACGGUACCUGCAAAGGAAGCAUCGGCUAACUACGUGCCAGCAGCCGCGGUAAGACGUAGGAUGCAAGCGUUGUCCGGAAUUAUUGGGCGUAAAGAGUUCGUAGGCGGUUACUUAAGUCUGAUGUUAAAUACCGGAGCUCAACUCCGACACGGCACCAGAUACUGGGUAACUAGAGUGCGGUAGAGGUAACAGGAAUUCCCGGUGUAGCGGUGAAAUGCGUAGAUAUCGGGAGGAACACCAGUGGCGAAAGCGUGUUACUGGACCGCAACUGACGCUGAGGAACGAAAGCCAGGGUAGCGAAAGGGAUUAGAUACCCCUGUAGUCCUGGCCGUAAACGAUGGAUACUAGGUGUUGGUGGUAUCGACCCCUCCAGUGCCGAAGCUAACGCGAUAAGUAUCCCGCCUGGGGAGUACGGCCGCAAGGCUGAAACUCAAAGGAAUUGACGGGGGCCCGCACAAGCGGUGGAACAUGUGGUUUAAUUCGAUGCAACGCGAAGAACCUUACCUGGGCUUGACAUCUACGGAACCUUGCAGAAAUGUGAGGGUGCCUUCGGGAGCCGUAAGACAGGUGGUGCACGGUUGUCGUCAGCUCGUGUCGUGAGAUGUUGGGUUAAGUCCCGCAACGAGCGCAACCCUCGUGGUCUGUUGUUACAGGUCGGAAGAUGCUGAACCCUCAGGCCAGACUGCCGGUGACAAACCGGAGGAAGGUGGGGAUGACGUCAAAUCAUCACGCCCCUUAUGUCCAGGGCUACACACGUGUUACAAUGGGAGAAGACAACGGGCAGCUUGGCAGCAAUGUCUGGCAAAUCCCUUAAACUUCCCCUCAGUUCGGAUCGGAGUCUGCAACUCGACUCCGUGAAGUCGGAAUCGCUAGUAAACGCAGAUCAGCACGCUGCGUUGAAUACGUUCCCGGGCCUUGUACACACCGCCCGUCACACCACGAAAGAGGGUUACGCCCGAAGUCGGUGUCCCAACCUUUUAGGAGGGAGCCGCCGAAGGCAGAACUCUUGAUUGGGGUGAAGUCGUAACAAGGUAGCCGUACCGGAAGGUGCGGCUGGAUCACCUCCUUU
RNAcentral lists this ribosomal RNA (1520 nucleotides) under Cyanobacteriota bacterium. RNAcentral's name for it is "bacterial SSU rRNA". It matches the Rfam family "Bacterial small subunit ribosomal RNA". The record is from RNAcentral. Lineage: Bacteria; Bacillati; Cyanobacteriota.